AUUGAACGCUGGCGGCAGGCUUAACACAUGCAAGUCGAGCGGGGUGAUGGUGCUUGCACUAUCACUUAGCGGCGGACGGGUGAGUAAUGCUUAGGAAUCUGCCUAUUAGUGGGGGACAACAUCUCGAAAGGGAUGCUAAUACCGCAUACGUCCUACGGGAGAAAGCAGGGGAUCACUUGUGACCUUGCGCUAAUAGAUGAGACUAAGUCGGAUUAGCUAGUUGGUGGGGUAAAGGCCUACCAAGGCGACGAUCUGUAGCGGGUCUGAGAGGAUGAUCCGCCACACUGGGACUGAGACACGGCCCAGACUCCUACGGGAGGCAGCAGUGGGGAAUAUUGGACAAUGGGGGAAACCCUGAUCCAGCCAUGCCGCGUGUGUGAAGAAGGCCUUAUGGUUGUAAAGCACUUUAAGCGAGGAGGAGGCUCUUUUGGUUAAUACCCAAGAUGAGUGGACGUUACUCGCAGAAUAAGCACCGGCUAACUCUGCGCCAGCCGCCGCCGUAA
Molecule: ribosomal RNA, 503 nt
Filed under: uncultured bacterium
Lineage: Bacteria
Description: partial 16S ribosomal RNA
Rfam family: Bacterial small subunit ribosomal RNA
Source: RNAcentral